RNAcentral lists this long non-coding RNA (7354 nucleotides) under Lactuca sativa (garden lettuce). Its description in RNAcentral is "long non-coding RNA (LSAT_LNC009865)". The record is from RNAcentral. Lineage: Eukaryota; Viridiplantae; Streptophyta; Magnoliopsida; Asterales; Asteraceae.
GACCUGUAUAUAUCUUAGAGGGGUCAGUUGUCUUGUUUGAUAAGAUCAUUAACUAAGGCUGUGGUAUUAUAGGGAACCUGCGGACUAGCGGAUUGUGUGCGAGUAGCUCGAAGAGGUUAUAGCCUGCGUACUACGAGGUGAGUCUUCUCACUAUACUUCACCCGGAAGGGUUUGACUGUUAGACCGGAAGGUCGUGUGUGUUAUAUUCAUGCUAUGUCUAGAGAGGUAGAUGCUUUAUAUGUGAUGUGUGCUUAUAUGCGAUAUAUGUUAUGUGGAUCGAAAGAUCCGGGCCGGAAGGCAAUGUUAUGUGGAUCGAAAGAUCCGGGCCGGAAGGCAAUGUUAUGUGGAUCGAAAGAUCCGGGCCGGAAGGCAAUGUUAUGUGGAUCGAAAGAUCCGGGCCGGAAGGCAAUGUUAUGUGGAUCGAAAGAUCCGGGCCGGAAGGCAAUGUUAUGUGGACCGAAAGGUCCGGGCCGGAAGGCAAUGUUAUGUGGAUCGAAAGGUCCGGGCCGGAAGGCGUAUGUGGGUAAGUCGUAUACUGGGGAACUCACUAAGCAUUUAUGCUUACUAGUUGUGUUUAUGUUUUUCAGGUACUAGUGAUGACCGUGGAAAGGCGCCGGCGUGACACGUACACACUGCCACUGUUGAAGAUCCUGGAGAUUUAUUAUUUAUAUUUUGAAACAAACUUGGAAUAAACCCUUUUGUCGAAUAAUGAUGUUUUGUUUUUAACGAAAAAUUUAUUUGAAAAUUUGAGCUGUUACAAUUGGUAUCAGAGCCUUGGUUUGAGGGAUUCGGGGGUACUUUUGGGUGCAACUGAACUCAGACCGGGGAUUUGAGGAAAAACUUUUUCUUAAAAAUGAUAAGGACGUAACAUUUUAUAAAGGGCAAGGCGGUAAAAACAAGGGUGGAACAGUGUGUACGAGCAGCCAGCGUCCGAACGGUAAAGAUCCCCAGAAUACCUUACGAUGUUAUGUUAUGCACUGAAUUAUGAAUUGUUAUGCAUGCUAGAAGACUAGGUAUACAUGAUAGGAAUAGAAUUGCCUGUUUUGUGAUGCCUUAGUCUAGGGAGAUUGCUUAUAUGAGAUAUUUGGUAGCGUGCAAGUAAAUAGUGCAUACUAGAAGUAGAGUACUCGUUAUUCGGGAUUUGGGGAGGAAGAUUUGGGACGAAUACUGAUACGGUGUGGUCGGUAGUAUUGGGCCCGUACUAUCGAAGGCACCGGAUCAGUGGAAGACUCAAAUAAGAAUCCCUGGAAAUCGGAGACUGGGUAGGGCGCGUAUCGAGUACAAUUGUACUUGGUGGAGUCUCUGAUGAUUUUAUGUUGUAUUUCAGAGACAUCAUGGUUAUCACACGCAAUGGGGCGAGUUCGAGCGGUGCGAGUGACGAGGAGAUUCGUCAGAUUAUUCAGGAAGAGGUAGCUGCGGCGGUCCGGGCUGAGAUCCCGGAGAUGUUUGGGUCUAUUAAGACCACGUUGAUGGAGGAGUUUGAGGAGCGGUGCGCCGCAAUUUCUGAAGCUGCAGUUGCUGCCGCUACCGCAGCGGUGGCUGCUGCCAGGCCGCAAGGGGGUGAUUCAUUACUAUUCAGGGAAUUCAGCAACACGAAACCCCCUGAAUUUGAUGGGACGCAGGAUCCGAUUGCAGCUAUGAGGUGGAUCGCCGACAUCGAGGGGUGCUUCUAUACUUGCUCAUGCCCGGAGCACUUGAGGGUACGGUUCGCCUUGAACCAGCUCCGUCUGGGAGCGAAGGAUUGGUGGAAGUUCGUGACGGCGAACUUCACUCAGGCAGAGAUUACGGCGGUGACAUGGGAGAGGUUUACGGAGAUGUUCAGGGAUGAGUACGUUCCCCCGGUAGAGAGGGAGCGAUUGAUUCAGGAGUUCUUGACCCUUAAGCAGGGUACUGAUUCCGUGGCAGUGAUCACACGGAAGUUUCAUGAGAGGGCAAUGUUCUGCCCCGAGCUGGUAUCUACGGAGCAGUCGCGGAUGAGCCGCUAUUUGGGUGUUUUGAAGAGGGAGAUUCGGGAGUUUGUGUCAAACUCCACCUAUCGUACUUUCACUGAGCUUCAGGCGAACGCCAGGAAGCGCGAGAUUGAGUUGGAGACUCAAGCGAGGGAGGAGGCUGAGUCUCGGCAGGUGGAUCGACGGCCGGCCCAGUCUCAGCCGGCAGCCAAGCGGACUAAGUUCGCUGAUUCGAGGAUGGGAGGUUCGAAGGGUCGCACUUGCGCGAAGUGCGGCAAGAGUCACGAGGGGGCGUGUCGAGCUGGUGGUUGCUACAAGUGUGGCAAGGAGGGACAUAUUGCCAGGGAUUGCCCUAAGGGGUUUAUGGUUUGCUUUCACUGCAACCAGACAGGCCAUCGGAAGGCCGAGUGCCCGCAACUUCGUCAGGGAGCUACACCUACUACCCGGACUACUGAGACCCGACCGGCGAAGGUCGAGGCCCCGAGGGCUCGCGGGAGAGCCUUUCAGCUGACUGCGGAGGAGGUCCGCGCUGCGCCCGAUGUUGUGGCAGGUAUGUUAUCAUUCAUGUAUUUAAUUAAAGGUCGAAAUGUUAUGCUUAUGUUAAUGUAUGUGUAGGUACUUUCCUUGUGAACUCUAUGCCUGCUCUAGUAUUAUUUGAUUCGGGUGCGAGUAGAUCGUUUGUAUCGUUAGCUUUUAGUCAGCACAUCGGCAUUAGUCGUGAGCCGUUAAGUCGGCCUUUGAGCGUUUCCAUUGCGGCUGAGAGGGUGAUUUGUGCUACGGAGGUUUUUCGGGGAUGUGUGCUAGAGAUCUUCGGGGUCGCAUUUCCGAUUGACCUAAUUCCUAUUGCGAUGGGUGAUGUCUGUGUCAUUGUAGGCAUGGACUGGUUGAGCCGAUUCAGCGCUGUCAUCGACUGCGAGCGUCAGUUGGUGACUAUACGAGACCCUAGUGGGGGAGUUCUUACGGUGUACGGCGAGGGUACCCGUUCGAGAUCAGCUUUUUGUUCGGCUGCUAGGGCGAGGCAAUGCCUACAGCGGGGAUGUAACGGUUUCGUGGCGUAUGUGAUGGAUACGCGGGAGAGUUCCGAGAGACCGAAGACAUUGCAGGAGGUUCCAGUGGUGCGCGAGUUUCCAGAUGUUUUCCCCGAGGAUUUGCCGGGAAUACCUCCUGCGAGGCAAGUGGAGUUUGGUAUCGACCUAGUUCCAGGGGCGGCGCCUAUUGCGAAGGUGCCUUAUCGUCUUGCACCUCCAGAGAUGCAAGAAUUGUCCUCGCAACUUCAAGAGUUGUUGGGGAAGGGAUUUAUUCGGCCGAGUAGCUCGCCGUGGGGAGCACCGAUUCUGUUCGUCAAGAAGAAGGAUGGUUCACACCGGAUGUGUAUCGAUUACCGGGAACUGAACAAGGUGACAGUUAAGAACCGCUAUCCGUUACCAAGAAUCGAUGAUCUAUUCGAUCAGUUGCAAGGGGCAUCUUGGUUUUCCAAGAUUGAUUUGAGAUCAGGGUACCAUCAGGUAAGGGUGCGGGAUGAGGACGUCCAGAAGACAGCCUUUAGGACGCGGUAUGGGCAUUACGAGUUCGUGGUGAUGCCUUUUGGGCUCACCAAUGCCCCAGCAGUGUUCAUGGAUCUCAUGAACAGGGUAUGCAGGCCGAUGCUGGAUCGGUCUGUGAUUGUAUUCAUCGACGACAUUCUGGUGUAUUCGCGGUCUAGGGAGCAGCAUGAGGGACAUUUGAGGGAGGUCCUUGAGGUACUGAGGUCGGAGAAGCUAUAUGCAAAAUUCUCCAAAUGUGACUUCUGGUUACGGGAGGUUCAAUUUCUGGGGCACGUUGUAAAUCAGGCAGGGAUAUUGGUCGAUCCGGCCAAGGUGGAGGCGGUGAUGAGAUGGGAGGCACCAAAGUCACCUUCGGAGAUCAGGAGUUUCCUUGGGUUGGCAGGGUACUAUCGAAGGUUCAUUAGGGACUUCUCCAAGAUCGCAGUGCCACUUACCAAAUUGACCCGAAAGGGUGUUACAUUCUCAUGGGGACCCGAGCAGCAGACUUCCUUCGAGACACUUCGUCAGAGACUGUGCGAAGCACCAGUAUUAGCCCUUCCUGAAGGGAUGGAGGACUUCGUCGUAUAUUGCGACGCAUCGAUUUCAGGACUGGGUGCAGUGUUGAUGCAGAGGGGCCAUGUGAUAGCCUAUGCAUCGAGGCAGCUGAAGCCUCACGAAGCGAGAUAUCCCACGCAUGACUUAGAGUUGGGGGCAGUAGUGUUCGCCCUCAAAAUUUGGCGUCACUACCUGUACGGGGUUCGUUGUACCAUAUACACGGACCAUAAGAGUUUGAAGUAUUUGAUGGAUCAACCCAACCUAAACAUGCGCCAGAGGAGAUGGUUAGACGUGGUUAAGGAUUAUGACUGUGAGAUCCUAUACCACCCAGGCAAGGCUAAUGUGGUAGCCGAUGCAUUGAGUCGUAGGGCGGAGGGUACUCCAUUGCGGGACGUAUGUUUGAGAUUGACGGUGGUGACUCCGGUAUUAGAUACUAUUCGUGGGGCACAGGCCGAGGUUGUGAAGUCUGGGAUGCAGAAACAGGAGCGGGUCGUCGGGUUAAUUUCAGAGUUCGUUACGGAUGGGCGGGGACUUCUGACAUUUCAGGGUCGGAUCUGGGUGCCAUUCGUGGGCGGUACGCGUGUCAUUUUGAUGGAGGAGGCACAUAGAUCGAAAUUCUCGAUCCAUCCCGGUGCUACGAAAAUGUAUCUGGAUUUGAAAAAGGAGUACUGGUGGCCUUGCAUGAAGAGAGACGUUGCGUGGUUCGUGGAGAGGUGUUUGACCUGCCGUAAAGUUAAGGCCGAGCACCAGAGACCGCACGGUAAGUUGCAACCCUUGGAGAUCCCUGAGUGGAAGUGGGAUCAGAUCACGAUGGAUUUCAUCACCAAAUUGCCGAAAACUGCCAGGGGAGUCGAUGCGAUUUGGGUGAUUGUGGAUAGACUAACAAAGAGUGCACAUUUCCUUGCCAUUAGUGAAAGUUCAUCAGCAGAGAAGUUGGCGGAGUUGUACGUGAGAGAGAUAGUAUCUCGGCAUGGAGUGCCGACCUCGAUUGUUUCGGACCGCGAUGUACGUUUCACUUCCAGGUUCUGGAAGAAAUUCCAUGAGGAGUUGGGUACUAAACUGCAUUUUAGUACCGCAUACCAUCCCCAGACCGACGGUCAAAGCGAGCGGACGAUCCAGACAUUGGAAGAUAUGCUUAGAGCGUGUGUGUUAGACUUCGGGGGUAGCUGGGAUGCGCAUCUGCCGCUGGCUGAGUUUUCCUACAACAACAGCCAUCAUUCGAGCAUUGGUAUGCCACCUUUUGAGUUGUUGUAUGGUAGGAGGUGUCGGACUCCCAUUUGCUGGGGAGAAGUGGGACAGAGAGUGAUGGGCAGUACAGAGAUCGUACUUCAAACGACUGAACAGAUCCAACGGGUGAGGCAGAGGUUAUUGACCGCCCAGAGCCGACAGAAGAGUUAUGCGGACAGACGCCGGUCCGAGCUCGAAUUCCAGGUCGGCGACUUCGUUCUCCUAAAGGUUUCUCCUUGGAAAGGGGUGAUUCGGUUCAGGAAGAGGGGCAAAUUGGGGCCCCGGUUCAUAGGUCCAUUUCGGGUAAUUGCAAGGGUAGGUCGGGUAGCUUAUCGGUUGGAGUUGCCAGCGGAGCUGAAUCAGAUUCACAAUACCUUCCACGUAUCACAGCUGAGGAAGUGUAUAGCCGAUGAGGCAGCAGUGGUUCCGUUAGAAGAUAUCCAGGUAGAUGCGAGUCUGAAUUACGCCGAGAGACCAGUAGCUAUCAGGGAUCGGAAGAUCAAGGUUCUACGGAACAAGGAAAUACCUCUGGUGUUGGUUCAGUGGCAACAUCGGAAGGGAUCGGAGAUGACUUGGGAGCCGGAAAGAGAAAUGCGGGAGCAACAUCCGGAGUUAUUCGCAGAAUGAGAGACUUCGAGGGCGAAGUCUAGUUCUAGUGGGGGAGAGUUGUAACAGCCCGGAAUUUCAGGUAUUUCUUUAAAUUAUUUUUGGGGCACAUUUAGGAGGGGACUCGGCGAGUUGGUGCACGACUCGCCGAGUAGGGCCAUGGUCUUGGUCGCAGACGCGCGACUGGACUCGACGAGUCCAAUAAGGGACUCGGCGAGUCGACGCCGUUCAGCUGAACCCUAGCCGUUUCAUUUCUGAUCGUAUAUAACGAUCUUAUGGCCGUCAUGUCGCGUCUUUUGGCCGGUUGAAGAUCCCCUGGGAGUGUGUGAGCAUCUGAAGCAAGAGAGAGGACUUGAGAAGGCUUGAAGAGAUUGUUAGACAAGGAGGAGCAAGGUGGUGAUCAAAGGAAUCGAGUACUGGAGGUUUGGAGACACAGGGAACACGUUUCCAGGUAAUCUUCGGAUCGAAAUCUGUAACUUUUACGUUGUAUGCGAGUUUAGGGUUUAGGAAACCCAAUUAAGGGUUAGUUAGAUUAUAUUGUUGUUAUAAGUGUUAAAAAACCCCGUAAUAGUAUAUGUGAAAGUCCAGGAAGCCCUAUAUCUAUAUACUUCGAAAUCAUGCGAAAUACAGGAGGCAGCGGAUUGACUGCAUGGCGAGGACUCGCCGAGUCCAAUGAUCAGACUCGGCGAGUAGCUUGAAGAUUCACUAGAACUCGCCGAGUUGUUCUUCAGACUCGGCGAGUAGCUUGAAGGUUCACUAGGACUCGUCGAGUUGUUCUUCAGACUCGGCGAGUAGCUUGAAGAUCUACUGGAACUCGUCGAGUCGUUCUUCAGACUCGGCGAGUGGUGUCAGGAUGUCUAUACUCGUCGAGUUACCCUUUGCACUCGACGAGUCCGGUCAAGAUUGACCGUUGACCUGUAUAUAUCUUAGAGGGGUCAGUUGUCUUGUUUGAUAAGAUCAUUAACUAAGGCUGUGGUAUUAUAGGGAACCUGCGGACUAGCGGAUUGUGUGCGAGUAGCUCGAGGAGGUUAUAGCCUGCGUACUACGAGGUGAGUCUUCUCACUAUACUUCACCCGGAAGGGUUUGACUGUUAGACCGGAAGGUCGCGUGUGUUAUAUUCAUGCUAUGUCUAGAGAGAUAGAUGCUUUAUAUGCGAUGUGUGCUUAUAUGUGUUGUAUGAUUAUACGGGCCGGAAGGCGAGACUUAUGUGUUAGAAAGAACGGUAUGAUAUAUGUGCUUUAUGUGUUAGAGUAUUUGUAUUAUGUGUUAUAUAUGUGUAUGGGCCGGAAGGCAGUUAUCUUGUGGAUCGAAAGAUCCGGGCCGGAAGGCAAUGUUAUGUGGAUCGAAAGAUCCGGGCCGGAAGGCAAUGUUAUGUGGACCGAUAGGUCCGGGCCGGAAGGCAAUAUUUUGUGGACCGAAAGGUCCGGGCCGGAAGGCGUAUGUGGGUAAGUCGUAUACUGGGGAACUCACUAAGCAUUUAUGCUUACUAGUUGU